GAUGAACGCUAGGCGGGGAGGCCUAAUACAUGCAAGUCGAACGGUAACAGGGGUAGCAAUACCUGCUGACGAGUGGCGCACGGGUGCGUAACGCGUACACAACCUGCCUUAUACUGGGGCAUAACCUUGGGAAACUGAGGCUAAUUCUCCAUAACAUAUCGAAAAGGCAUCUUUUUGAUAUUAAAACUCCGGUGGUAUAAGAUGGGUGUGCGUCCGAUUAGGUAGUUGGUGAGGUAACGGCUCACCAAGCCAACGAUCGGUAGCUGGUCUGAGAGGAUGAUCAGCCACACGGGCACUGAGACACGGGCCCGACUCCGUACGGGAGGCAGCA
RNAcentral lists this ribosomal RNA (331 nucleotides) under uncultured bacterium. Its description in RNAcentral is "bacterial SSU rRNA". It matches the Rfam family "Bacterial small subunit ribosomal RNA", at positions 28 to 353 of the family's 1533-position model. The record is from RNAcentral.